CACCAGAGCAUUGCUCCAGCUCUUCCAGGAAAGAAACGUGUUUUCACCCAUUUUCUAAGGUUUCCAGAGCCAUGCAGUGUGUUAAUAUCUGUGUGCAGCCCAGGCUGUAGUCAGUUCUUUCUAUGGCUGCAAGGAUGGCUUUGCUCUCACUCCUUUGCUGGCUUUUUGAGCUGCCCAGAUGGCAGACUUGGAGCAUCAGGCAUGGGGCAAGCACAGACCUCUCUGCCCCCCGUGUCCCCCCAUGGCACCCCUGGCCCUGACACCACCCUCCCUUGCCGAGGGCAGGCAGGUCUGGGGCUCCACCACGGUGCAUCGAAUGUGCGAGCUGCCCUUAGAUCAUGUGUCAAAGGAAUAAUGACAUGCAUGGGAUAAGUAGCAGUCUGCCUCUGGAAGCCCAAACAUCUGAAAUGGAAAAUUCUGCAGAAUUUAGAUAAAGAUUUGAAUAUACUGCUGUGGAGCUAAGAAUAGACCAUAUUAUUUAUAUCGUCAAAGGAAGCGGCAGAAAUCACAGAGAUCUUCAGAGACUAAAGAUGCUCAGACAGUUCUGCACAGGAAUUGUGCUCGCGGAGCUGACGCGGAAAGUUACUGACGUCUCAGCACAGGCACGCUGCUCCCAGAGGGCCCACGGACAGGCAGCAUUUCAUGCAGAAGAGAAAUGCCAGGCUUUUCCCUCCUGGAAGACACACUCAAGAGGCAUUCUGAAAUAGUGGGCAUGAGCUGAUCUCGUGGAACAGCCUGCGUGUCCUCAAAAACAACAGAAGAGUGUUCAUCUUUACAAGCUUUAUGGCUGAUAGAGUACUGAUGGAUAGAUAAUUACAAUCCUGAUGGAUGAUAGCUUUUUAAUUGGAGAAACCACAAUAAACCUAUCUGAUCUA
Molecule: long non-coding RNA, 875 nt
Organism: Catharus ustulatus (Swainson's thrush)
Lineage: Eukaryota; Metazoa; Chordata; Aves; Passeriformes; Turdidae
Exons: 3
Source: RefSeq, a predicted model, not a curated record